AUGGAACAGGCCGCGAGCGCGAGGGGCAUCAUGCCCACCACCGCGAGGAUCUUCCCCGCGCGGAUGGCCAGCACUGCCGCAGGCCCGCAUGCCAAACAAGAAGAAGCCACUGGAAAGCCCCAGGGCGCAACAACGCCGGAGCAGAACAAGAAGGCCGUGCCGAGCUACUGGGGCAUCAAGCCGCGGAAGCUCGUCGAGGACGACGGCACGGAGUGGUCGUGGUUCUCCUUCAGGCCGUGGGACACGUACCGGCCGGACACGUCCAUGGACGUGGCCAAGCACCACGAGCCGAGGGCGAUGGCGGACAAGGUGGCGUAA
Molecule: ribosomal RNA, 318 nt
Filed under: Triticum aestivum (bread wheat)
Lineage: Eukaryota; Viridiplantae; Streptophyta; Magnoliopsida; Poales; Poaceae
Description: partial small subunit ribosomal RNA
Source: RNAcentral